UGAAUCCUUAAGACGGGAAAGGCU
This 24-nucleotide non-coding RNA is filed under the name Rattus norvegicus (Norway rat). Lineage: Eukaryota; Metazoa; Chordata; Mammalia; Rodentia; Muridae. The record is from RNAcentral.